GACGAACGCUGGCGGCGUGCUUAACACAUGCAAGUCGAACGGAAAGGCCCUGCUUUUGUGGGGUGCUCGAGUGGCGAACGGGUGAGUAACAAGUGAGUAACCUGCCCUUGACUUUGGGAUAACUUCAGGAAACUGGGGCUAAUACCGGAUAGGAGCUCCUGCUGCAUGGUGGGGGUUGGAAAGUUUCGGCGGUUGGGGAUGGACUCGCGGCUUAUCAGCUUGUUGGUGGGGUAGUGGCUUACCAAGGCUUUGACGGGUAGCCGGCCUGAGAGGGUGACCGGCCACAUUGGGACUGAGAUACGGCCCAGACUCCUACGUGGGGCAGCAGUGGGGAGUAUUGCACAAUGGGCGGAAGCCUGAUGCGGCAACGCCGCGUGCGGAAUGACGGCCUUCGGGUUAUAAACCGCUUUCACCUGUGACGAAGCGUGAGUGACGGUAAUGGGUAAAGAAGCACCGGCUAACUACGUG
RNAcentral lists this ribosomal RNA (468 nucleotides) under uncultured bacterium. RNAcentral describes it as "partial 16S ribosomal RNA". It matches the Rfam family "Bacterial small subunit ribosomal RNA", at positions 28 to 507 of the family's 1533-position model. The record is from RNAcentral.